CGAGUCCGGACGAGAGUCCGCCUUCGCACUUUCUCCCUUGUGAACUUUUUAUCUGUUGCUUCGGCGGGCCCGCGCCCCAGGUGCCCGGCUGCCCCCUCGGAGGUGGCUGGAGCGCCCGCCAGAAGACCCCUUUUCUCCGUCUUGGUGAAUGUCUGAAUAAAAAAAACAAAAUAAAGUA
Molecule: unclassified non-coding RNA, 178 nt
Filed under: uncultured fungus
Lineage: Eukaryota; Fungi
Description: sequence contains ITS1, 5.8S rRNA gene
Source: RNAcentral